GUAAUUGCCGUAGAGGGCAGGAGGGAUGCAGCUGGCCACAACUUUCCCAAAACAAUGAAAGCUUUGGGACCGAGAGAUGGAUGUUGUGUUGCUUUUCAAAGGCUUCUUUGAUGGUCUUUUCAGCAAACAAGAAGAUGCUGAGAGGCAAGUGAUUUCUAGUGCUUCCUUAAUGACUGUGUUUAAUUUUCUUGUGCAUGAAGUUCUCUGAAACAUCUCCAGCUUUGCCUUCCAAAGAUUCACAAGAGAUUGAGGCAGAGUGGCAGUGAAAAAUGUUGAUGUAUCAAUAGCCUGGGACCCCACUUGCUCCACUGCCCUGAGAGAUUGCAACAGGAUGCUCCCCUGCUCUUAGUCCAGGACUGGUUUCAAGUCUCCAGAUGCUGCAGAACCGAUCCGUGUGAGCGCUCCGAGGCCGCUCGUGGCGUUUCUUCCGUGGAAGUUCUCCUCCGAGUGCCGGCCGCCAGCAGACAGCUCCGAGCCGCGGCUCCUCGCGCCGUGCCGGGCUUCCCGUGCUCUGCACUGCUCCGUGCCGUGUAAAAGGUGGCCGAGGACGCCUGCGGCGACGGGCGGGUCUCGCUCCGCAGCCAGACGGGCAGCUCCCCGGGCCGGAGCGGCGCUGAGGCUCUGCCCCGCGGGG
This 634-nucleotide long non-coding RNA is filed under the name Gallus gallus (chicken). RNAcentral's name for it is "lncRNA (ENSGALG00010030070.1)". Lineage: Eukaryota; Metazoa; Chordata; Aves; Galliformes; Phasianidae. The record is from RNAcentral.